RNAcentral lists this ribosomal RNA (508 nucleotides) under uncultured bacterium. RNAcentral describes it as "partial 16S ribosomal RNA". It matches the Rfam family "Bacterial small subunit ribosomal RNA", at positions 28 to 507 of the family's 1533-position model. The record is from RNAcentral.
GACGAACGCUGGCGGCGUGCCUAAUACAUGCAAGUCGAACGCUUCUUUCCUCCCGAGUGCUUGCACUCAAUUGGAAAGAGGAGUGGCGGACGGGUGAGUAACACGUGGGUAACCUACCCAUCAGAGGGGGAUAACACUUGGAAACAGGUGCUAAUACCGCAUAACAGUUUAUGCCGCAUGGCAUAAGAGUGAAAGGCGCUUUCGGGUGUCGUUGAUGGAUGGACCCGCGGUGCAUUAGCUAGUUGGUGAGGUAACGGCUCACCAAGGCCACGAUGCAUAGCCGACCUGAGAGGGUGAUCGGCCACACUGGGACUGAGACACGGCCCAGACUCCUACGGGAGGCAGCAGUAGGGAAUCUUCGGCGAUGGACGAAAGUCUGACCGAGCAACGCCGCGUGAGUGAAGAAGGUUUUCGGAUCGUAAAACUCUGUUGUUAGAGAAGAACAAGGACGUUAGUAACUGAACGUCCCCUGACGGUAUCUAACCAGAAAGCCACGGCUAACUACGUG